RNAcentral lists this ribosomal RNA (433 nucleotides) under uncultured bacterium. RNAcentral describes it as "partial 16S ribosomal RNA". It matches the Rfam family "Bacterial small subunit ribosomal RNA", at positions 29 to 507 of the family's 1533-position model. The record is from RNAcentral.
AGCGAACGCUGGCGGCAGGCCUAACACAUGCAAGUCGAACGAACUCUUCGGAGUUAGUGGCGGACGGGUGAGUAACACGUGGGAACGUGCCUUUUGGUUCGGAAUAACUCAGGGAAACUUGUGCUAAUACCGAAUGUGCCCUUCGGGGGAAAGAUUUAUCGCCAUUAGAGCGGCCCGCGUCUGAUUAGCUAGUUGGUGAGGUAACGGCUCACCAAGGCGACGAUCAGUAGCUGGUCUGAGAGGAUGACCAGCCACACUGGGACUGAGACACGGCCCAGACUCCUACGGGAGGCAGCAGUGGGGAAUCUUGCGCAAUGGGCGAAAGCCUGAAGCAGCCAUGCCGCGUGAAUGAUGAAGGUCUUAGGAUUGUAAAAUUCUUUCACCGGGGACGAUAAUGACGGUACCCGGAGAAGAAGCCCCGGCUAACUUCGUG